This 254-nucleotide ribosomal RNA is filed under the name uncultured bacterium. Its description in RNAcentral is "partial 16S ribosomal RNA". It matches the Rfam family "Bacterial small subunit ribosomal RNA", at positions 524 to 776 of the family's 1533-position model. The record is from RNAcentral.
UACGUAGGGGGCAAGCGUUGUCCGGAAUUACUGGGCGUAAAGGGCGCGUAGGCGGCCAGCACAAGUCAGUUGUGAAAUCUCCGAGCUUAACUCGGAAAGGUCAACUGAUACUGUGCGGCUAGAGUGCAGAAGGGGCAACUGGAAUUCUUGGUGUAGCGGUGAAAUGCGUAGAUAUCAAGAGGAACACCUGCGGCGAAGGCGGGUUGCUGGGCUGACACUGACGCUGAGGCGCGAAAGCUAGGGGAGCGAACGGG